AUGCUCUUGUUAGCAUAUAUUCUAAAAUUAGAAAAAUACAAAUAAGGUUUGCAUGGCCCCUGCAUAUGACACACUAAUUCAUGAAGUGUUUCAUAUUUUA
This is a small nuclear RNA of Fukomys damarensis (Damara mole-rat), 100 nucleotides long. The record is from Ensembl. NCBI's taxonomy places the organism in Eukaryota, Metazoa, Chordata, Mammalia, Rodentia, Bathyergidae.